GUACGAGAGGACCGGGAUGGACAUAACUCUGGUGUACCAGUUGUCGUGCCAACUGCAUAGCUGGGUAGCUAUGUAUGGACGGGAUAAGUGCUGAAAGCAUCUAAGCAUGAAGCCCCCCUCAAGAUGAGAUUUCCCAACUUCGGUUAUAAGAUCCCUCGAAGAUGACGAGGUUAAUAGGUUCGAGGUGGAAGCGUGGUGACACGUGGAGCUGACGAAUACUAAUCGAUCGAAGACUUAAUCAAUUU
Molecule: ribosomal RNA, 245 nt
Filed under: Staphylococcus epidermidis
Lineage: Bacteria; Bacillati; Bacillota; Bacilli; Caryophanales; Staphylococcaceae
Description: partial 23S ribosomal RNA
Rfam family: Bacterial large subunit ribosomal RNA
Source: RNAcentral